This 504-nucleotide ribosomal RNA is filed under the name uncultured bacterium. Its description in RNAcentral is "partial 16S ribosomal RNA". It matches the Rfam family "Bacterial small subunit ribosomal RNA", at positions 29 to 523 of the family's 1533-position model. The record is from RNAcentral.
AUUGAACGCUGGCGGCAGGCCUAACACAUGCAAGUCGAACGGUAACACAGAGAGCUUGCUCUCGGGUGACGAGUGGCGGACGGGUGAGUAACGUCUGGGAAACUGCCCGAUGGAGGGGGAUAACUACUGGAAACGGUAGCUAAUACCGCAUAACGUCGCAAGACCAAAGUGGGUGACCUUCGGGCCUCACACCAUCGGAUGUGCCCAGAUGGGAUUAGCUAGUAGGUGGGGUAAUGGCUCACCUAGGCGACGAUCCCUAGCUGGUCUGAGAGGAUGACGAGCCACACUGGAACUGAGACACGGGCCAGACUCCUACGGGAGGCAGCAGUGGGGAAUAUUGCACAAUGGGCGCAAGCCUGAUGCAGCCAUGCCGCGUGUAUGAAGAAGGCCUUCGGGUUGUAAAGUACUUUCAGCGGGGAGGAAGGCGGUGAAGUUAACAGCUUCACCGAUUGACGUUACCCGCAGAAGAAGCACCGGCUAACUCCGUGCCAGCAGCCGCGGUAA